GAUGAACGCUGGCGGCGUGCCUAAUACAUGCAAGUCGAGCGAACAGACGAGGCGCUUGCUCCUCUGACGCUAGCGGCGGCCGGGUGAGUAACACGUGGCUAACCUACCUAUAAGACUGGGAUAAAUUCGGGACACCGGAGCUAAUACCGGAUAAUCUCUUGAACCGCAUGGUUCAAUAGUGAAAGACGGUUUUGCUGUCACUUCUUGCUGGAUCCGCGCCGCAUUAGCUAGUUGGUAAGGUAACGGCAUACCAAGGCAACGAAGCGUAGCCGACCUGUGAACGUGAUCGGCCACACUGGAACUGAGACACGUGCCAGACUCCUACGGGAGGCCUCAGUAGGGAAUCUUCCGCAAUGGGCGAAAGCCUGACGGAACAACGCCGCUUGAGGGAAGAGGGUCAGCGGAUCUUAAGACUCUGUUAGUAGAGAAGAACAAGGGUGUAAGGAACAGUGCACGUCUUGACGGUACCUGAUAAGAAAGCCACGGCUAACUACGUG
Molecule: ribosomal RNA, 497 nt
Filed under: uncultured bacterium
Lineage: Bacteria
Description: partial 16S ribosomal RNA
Rfam family: Bacterial small subunit ribosomal RNA
Source: RNAcentral